Molecule: ribosomal RNA, 642 nt
Filed under: uncultured fungus
Lineage: Eukaryota; Fungi
Description: eukaryotic LSU rRNA
Rfam family: Eukaryotic large subunit ribosomal RNA
Source: RNAcentral
CCCGCUGAACUUAAGCAUAUCAAUAAGCGGAGGAAAAGAAACUAACAAGGAUUCCCCUAGUAACUGCGAGUGAAGAGGGAAAAGCUCAAAUUUGAAAUCUGGCGGUCUUUGGCUGUCCGAGUUGUAAUUUAGAGAAGUGUUACCCGAGCUAUACCGUGUAUAAGUCUCCUGGAAUGGAGCGUCAUAGAGGGUGAGAAUCCCGUCUUUGACACGGAUAAUAGUUCAUUGUGGUGCGCUCUCGACGAGUCGAGUUGUUUGGGAAUGCAGCUCAAAAUGGGUGGUAAAUUCCAUCUAAAGCUAAAUACAGGCGAGAGACCGAUAGCGAACAAGUACCGUGAGGGAAAGAUGAAAAGAACUUUGGAAAGAGAGUUAAACAGUAUGUGAAAUUGCUGAAAGGGAAACGCUUGAUGUCAGUCACGUUGGCUAGGGAUCAACCUUGCUUCUCGCUGGGUGUAUUUCCUAGUGGACGGGUCAGCAUCAGUUUCGGUCGCUGUACAAGGGCAAAGGGAACGUGGCACUCCUUGGAGUGUGUUAUAGCCUUUCGUCGUAUGCAGUGGUUGGGACUGAGGAACUCGGCACGAAAUCUAUUUUGUGCUUAGGAUGCUGGCAUAAUGGCCUUAAGCGACCCGUCUUGAAACACGG